CAAUAGCGUAUAUUAAUGUUGUUGCAGUUAAAAAGCUCGUAGUUGGAUUUCUGGUGGGAGCGGCCGGUCCGCCAUAAGGUGUGUACUUGGUUGUCUCCUGUCAUCCUUGUGGGAACUGCCCUGGCAUUAAGUUGUCGGGGUUAGGGAACACAUCGUUUACUGUGAAAAAAUUAGAGUGUUUAAAGCAGGCUUAUGCCGUUGAAUACAUUAGCAUGGAAUAAUAAGAUAGGACUUUGGCGUCUAUUUUGUUGGUUUGCACACCAAGGUAAUGAUUAAUAGGGAUAGUUGGGGGUAUUCGUAUUUAAUUGUCAGAGGUGAAAUUCUUGGAUUUAUGAAAGACGAACUUCUGCGAAAGCAUUUACCAAAGAUGUUUUCAUUAA
This 380-nucleotide ribosomal RNA is filed under the name uncultured eukaryote. Its description in RNAcentral is "partial 18S ribosomal RNA". It matches the Rfam family "Eukaryotic small subunit ribosomal RNA", at positions 592 to 976 of the family's 1831-position model. The record is from RNAcentral.